Molecule: ribosomal RNA, 253 nt
Filed under: uncultured Comamonadaceae bacterium
Lineage: Bacteria; Pseudomonadati; Pseudomonadota; Betaproteobacteria; Burkholderiales; Comamonadaceae
Description: partial 16S ribosomal RNA
Rfam family: Bacterial small subunit ribosomal RNA
Source: RNAcentral
UACGGAGGGUGCAAGCGUUAAUCGGAAUUACUGGGCGUAAAGCGUGCGCAGGCGGUUUUGUAAGACAGAGGUGAAAUCCCCGGGCUCAACCUGGGAACUGCCUUUGAGACUGCAAGGCUAGAGUACGGCAGAGGGGGGUGGAAUUCCGCGUGUAGCAGUGAAAUGCGUAGAUAUGCGGAGGAACACCGAUGGCGAAGGCAACCCCCUGGGCCUGUACUGACGCUCAUGCACGAAAGCGUGGGGAGCAAACAGG